RNAcentral lists this ribosomal RNA (3005 nucleotides) under Yersinia enterocolitica. RNAcentral describes it as "bacterial LSU rRNA". It matches the Rfam family "Bacterial large subunit ribosomal RNA". Lineage: Bacteria; Pseudomonadati; Pseudomonadota; Gammaproteobacteria; Enterobacterales; Yersiniaceae. The record is from RNAcentral.
UUAAGCGACUAAGCGUACACGGUGGAUGCCUAGGCAGUCAGAGGCGAUGAAGGGCGUGCUAAUCUGCGAAAAGCGUCGGUAAGGUGAUAUGAACCGUUAUAACCGACGAUACCCGAAUGGGGAAACCCAGUGCAAUUCGUUGCACUAUUGCAUGGUGAAUACAUAGCCAUGCAAGGCGAACCGGGGGAACUGAAACAUCUAAGUACCCCGAGGAAAAGAAAUCAACCGAGAUUCCCCCAGUAGCGGCGAGCGAACGGGGAGGAGCCCAGAACCUGAAUCAGCGUAUGUGUUAGUGGAAGCGUCUGGAAAGUCGCACGGUACAGGGUGAUAGUCCCGUACACAAAAAUGCAUAUGUUGUGAGUUCGAUGAGUAGGGCGGGACACGUGACAUCCUGUCUGAAUAUGGGGGGACCAUCCUCCAAGGCUAAAUACUCCUGACUGACCGAUAGUGAACCAGUACCGUGAGGGAAAGGCGAAAAGAACCCCGGCGAGGGGAGUGAAACAGAACCUGAAACCGUGUACGUACAAGCAGUGGGAGCACCUUCGUGGUGUGACUGCGUACCUUUUGUAUAAUGGGUCAGCGACUUAUAUUUUGUAGCAAGGUUAACCGAAUAGGGGAGCCGUAGGGAAACCGAGUCUUAACUGGGCGAAUAGUUGCAAGGUAUAGACCCGAAACCCGGUGAUCUAGCCAUGGGCAGGUUGAAGGUUGGGUAACACUAACUGGAGGACCGAACCGACUAAUGUUGAAAAAUUAGCGGAUGACUUGUGGCUGGGGGUGAAAGGCCAAUCAAACCGGGAGAUAGCUGGUUCUCCCCGAAAGCUAUUUAGGUAGCGCCUCGUGAACUCAUCUUCGGGGGUAGAGCACUGUUUCGGCUAGGGGGUCAUCCCGACUUACCAAACCGAUGCAAACUCCGAAUACCGAAGAAUGUUAUCACGGGAGACACACGGCGGGUGCUAACGUCCGUCGUGAAGAGGGAAACAACCCAGACCGCCAGCUAAGGUCCCAAAGUCAUGGUUAAGUGGGAAACGAUGUGGGAAGGCACAGACAGCCAGGAUGUUGGCUUAGAAGCAGCCAUCAUUUAAAGAAAGCGUAAUAGCUCACUGGUCGAGUCGGCCUGCGCGGAAGAUGUAACGGGGCUAAACCAUGCACCGAAGCUGCGGCAGCGAACGUAUCACUUAAAACGCUUAACGUGACGGCAAAGCCGGCAUGUUCAAGCCACACUAAACGUUGAGUUGGCCGAUGUGCUGACAAACGAACAGGCGUUUUAAGGAUACGUUCGUUGGGUAGGGGAGCGUUCUGUAAGCCGUUGAAGGUAGUCUGUGAGGGCUGCUGGAGGUAUCAGAAGUGCGAAUGCUGACAUAAGUAACGAUAAUGCGGGUGAAAAACCCGCACGCCGGAAGACCAAGGGUUCCUGUCCAACGUUAAUCGGGGCAGGGUGAGUCGACCCCUAAGGCGAGGCUGAAAAGCGUAGUCGAUGGGAAACAGGUUAAUAUUCCUGUACUUGGUGUUACUGCGAAGGGGGGACGGAGAAGGCUAGGCUAGCCGGGCGACGGUUGUCCCGGUUUAAGCAUGUAGGCGGAGUGACCAGGUAAAUCCGGUUGCUUAUCAACGCUGAGGUGUGAUGACGAUGCACUACGGUGCAGAAGUAGUUGAUGCCAUGCUUCCAGGAAAAGCCUCUAAGCAUCAGGUAACAUGAAAUCGUACCCCAAACCGACACAGGUGGUCAGGUAGAGAAUACUCAGGCGCUUGAGAGAACUCGGGUGAAGGAACUAGGCAAAAUGGUGCCGUAACUUCGGGAGAAGGCACGCUGGCGCUAGGUGAAGAGACUUGCUCUCGGAGCUGAAGCCAGUCGCAGAUACCAGCUGGCUGCAACUGUUUAAUAAAAACACAGCACUGUGCAAACACGAAAGUGGACGUAUACGGUGUGACGCCUGCCCGGUGCUGGAAGGUUAAUUGAUGGGGUCAGCCGCAAGGCGAAGCUCUUGAUCGAAGCCCCAGUAAACGGCGGCCGUAACUAUAACGGUCCUAAGGUAGCGAAAUUCCUUGUCGGGUAAGUUCCGACCUGCACGAAUGGCGUAAUGAUGGCCAGGCUGUCUCCACCCGAGACUCAGUGAAAUUGAACUCGCUGUGAAGAUGCAGUGUACCCGCGGCAAGACGGAAAGACCCCGUGAACCUUUACUAUAGCUUGACACUGAACAUUGAGCCUUGAUGUGUAGGAUAGGUGGGAGGCAUAGAAGUGUGGACGCCAGUCUGCAUGGAGCCAACCUUGAAAUACCACCCUUUAAUGUUUGAUGUUCUAACUCGGCCCCGUAAUCCGGGGUGAGGACAGUGUCUGGUGGGUAGUUUGACUGGGGCGGUCUCCUCCCAAAGAGUAACGGAGGAGCACGAAGGUUAGCUAAUCACGGUCGGACAUCGUGAGGUUAGUGCAAAGGCAUAAGCUAGCUUGACUGCGAGAGUGACGGCUCGAGCAGGUACGAAAGUAGGUCUUAGUGAUCCGGUGGUUCUGAAUGGAAGGGCCAUCGCUCAACGGAUAAAAGGUACUCCGGGGAUAACAGGCUGAUACCGCCCAAGAGUUCAUAUCGACGGCGGUGUUUGGCACCUCGAUGUCGGCUCAUCACAUCCUGGGGCUGAAGUAGGUCCCAAGGGUAUGGCUGUUCGCCAUUUAAAGUGGUACGCGAGCUGGGUUUAGAACGUCGUGAGACAGUUCGGUCCCUAUCUGCCGUGGGCGUUGGAAGAUUGAGAGGGGCUGCUCCUAGUACGAGAGGACCGGAGUGGACGAAUCACUGGUGUUCGGGUUGUCAUGCCAAUGGCAUUGCCCGGUAGCUAAAUUCGGAAGAGAUAACCGCUGAAAGCAUCUAAGCGGGAAACUUGCCUCGAGAUGAGUCUUCCCUGGGGCUUUAAGCCCCCUGAAGGAACGUUAAAGACGAUGACGUUGAUAGGCUGGGUGUGUAAGUGCAGCGAUGCAUUGAGCUAACCAGUACUAAUGAACCGUGAGGCUUAACCUU